Molecule: long non-coding RNA, 630 nt
Organism: Melitaea cinxia (Glanville fritillary)
Lineage: Eukaryota; Metazoa; Arthropoda; Insecta; Lepidoptera; Nymphalidae
Exons: 2
Source: RefSeq, a predicted model, not a curated record
AGUAUAUAAGCGCUUGUGGCGAGUGACUCUUUCUUUUCCUUCGUCUCCAGCCACGGCCAGGUUCAGUGGUCCUUGGCGAGGCGGUGACGGGCGGUGCCGGGUGCUUCUGGUGUGACCACGAGGCGAGUCAUUUUGCCCAACCUUUCCGGUUCUGAUGGUUAUCGACCCUGUGGCAGUCGGCGACGCUUAUUUUACGUCGCCAGAAAUCGUGGGGAGCUGUGUGAGCUUAACCACGUGGUGCAAGGUGGUGCUACGGGCGGUACCAACUACCACGUAGUGCUUCGGAGCAUGAUCGGCUAAGUGACAUUUAGUAACCUCCAACCUUGUGCUAGGAAUAAUUCGAACCUUUUAUAAGCUAGUGCUAUAGUUUUUUAAUUACGUUUUAUUUUAAAAUUUAGACAAGUUCGUGUGUUCCUAAUUUUAAUUUUAGUAUUAAAAAAUUGUUAUCUUAUUUAAAUUCCAAGAGUGUGCAAGACAGUUUUUUUUAUUUGCGAGCAAAUAAUAUUAUUUUCUAACUAAAAUCGUCUGGUUAAAAAAAAACACUAAACGAAAGAAAAAGUUUGUUUCAAAUUGUUGAUUUUACUAAUAAUUGAAUAGUGAAGAAAAUAUAAGAAUAUUACAGUAAGAAAA